Molecule: ribosomal RNA, 138 nt
Filed under: uncultured bacterium
Lineage: Bacteria
Description: partial 16S ribosomal RNA
Rfam family: Bacterial small subunit ribosomal RNA
Source: RNAcentral
UAGGGAAUAUUGCUCAAUGGGGGAAACCCUGAAGCAGCAAACGCCGCGUGGAGGAUGAAGGUUUUCGGAUUGUAAACUCCUUUUGUUAGAGAAGAUAAUGACGGUAUCUAACGAAUAAGCACCGGCUAACUCCGUGCC